UACGAAGGGGGCUAGCGUUGCUCGGAAUCACUGGGCGUAAAGCGCACGUAGGCGGAUUGCUAAGUCAGGGGUGAAAUCCUGGAGCUCAACUCCAGAACUGCCUUUGAUACUGGCGACCUUGAGUCCGGGAGAGGUGAGUGGAACUGCGAGUGUAGAGGUGAAAUUCGUAGAUAUUAGGAAGAACACCAGUGGCGAAGGCGGCUCACUGGUCCGGUACUGACGCUGAGGUGCGAAAGCGUGGGGAGCAAACAGG
This 253-nucleotide ribosomal RNA is filed under the name uncultured bacterium. Its description in RNAcentral is "partial 16S ribosomal RNA". It matches the Rfam family "Bacterial small subunit ribosomal RNA", at positions 524 to 776 of the family's 1533-position model. The record is from RNAcentral.